UCAACGACGAAUUCUUGUGGCUACCAACCUAUUUGGCCGAGGCAUGGAUAAUGAGUGGGUGAACAUUGCCUUCAAUUAUGACAUGCCUGAGGAUUCUGACACCUACCUGCAUAGGGUGGCCCGAGCAGGUCGGUUUGGCACUAAGGGCUUGGCCAUCACUUUUGUGUCAGAUGAAAAUGAUGCCAAGAUCCUCAAUGAUAUGCAGGAUCGAUUUGAAGUCAAUAUUAGUGAGCUGCCCGAUGAGAUAGACAUUUCCUCUUACAUUGAACAGACGCGGUAGAGGACUCACCAACCUAUUUGGAAUGUGACAGUCUGUCCCUGUUCAGGAGAUGACAGCGGGCAUGGGGUGAAGGAGACACUACUGCCACCUACCCCUGAUAACCCCCACCCCCACCCCAUGGCUUCCCCCUUUUGCAUCACCACCACUCCUAAACCCCUGUUUCCGGAAUUGUCUGAAUUUUUUUUAACAAAACUAAAAAACACAUGCGUCUGUGGUGUCUGUAA
RNA transcript from Enhydra lutris kenyoni (northern sea otter), 504 nucleotides. It is a transcript of the gene named spliceosome RNA helicase DDX39B pseudogene, with no coding region annotated. The transcript has a single exon. The record is from RefSeq and is a predicted model, not a curated record. Lineage: Eukaryota; Metazoa; Chordata; Mammalia; Carnivora; Mustelidae.